This is a non-coding RNA of Paramuricea clavata, 483 nucleotides long. Lineage: Eukaryota; Metazoa; Cnidaria; Anthozoa; Malacalcyonacea; Plexauridae. The record is from the annotation of a GenBank genome assembly.
AAAAAAAAACAAAUAUCAUUCACACAAUCAUGCAAGUCAUAUAUAACUAUUCAUCUGCUCGGGCUGAAAAAUAUAAAUAAAAUUAUAGAGCGGACUGGAGCCCCAGACAACUAUUCUAUAUAUGAUAUAUCAUGUUGACGCGCCAACAUACUUUAAAAAGCAGCGCACAAAAAGUAUCAAAAUCUGUAAAUAUCUGUAAAAUCUAGUCUGUAAAUUCAAUUCUAUUCAAUUCCCUCUGAAAGCCCUGUACAUUCUAUCAUUUAAAAUCUUUGAUUUCCCUGCCAAUCCAGAUUAUUCGCCCUGCCAAUCCAGAUGAUUUGUAUUUUGGGGAGGCGACGUCAUCCCCCACCAAACUUUCGCCCCUGCGCGUCGCCAUAUUAAUUCAUGUGUCCUGAUUUUGCUGACUUGCAGUUGUUCAAUUUAAUGUGUAGUUUUAAUAGUAAAUUUGUAAUAAGUAGACGAUAACAGUUGAACAGAAGGCCC